Long non-coding RNA from Helianthus annuus (common sunflower), 512 nucleotides. RefSeq lists it as uncharacterized. NCBI's taxonomy places the organism in Eukaryota, Viridiplantae, Streptophyta, Magnoliopsida, Asterales, Asteraceae. The transcript is spliced from 3 exons. The record is from RefSeq and is a predicted model, not a curated record.
UUUAAAUAGGAGCAAUUAUGUUAUUUUUUUCGUUUUUAUUGAGUGGUUGUAGGUAAGAUGCAGUUACGAGAGUAGAAAAAUGAUGGAGAAAAGUAAAAGAAGAAAAGCAGAGGUUGUUACCAGAUAGUACGCCAUCAGCCUACACAAACGCCUUCAUAGAUGGAUGCACGAGAUGGUAAAAGAAGAAGUAAAGAAUUGCGAGGAAUCAAUUGAAUGGAAGGAGAUGAUGGUGAAGAGUUUCUCACAAAUGGAUAAGGACGUAGCUAAAUUGAGCAGCUCUGUUUCCCGUUCCAGCUCAAACUGUAGAUGCGAACUUCAAACUCCAUAGUGCGACAAGUAAAAGAAGAAAAGCAGAGGUUGUUACCAUAUAGUACGCCAUCAGCCUACACAAACGCCUUCAUAGAUGCCGGAUCGGCUGGAUGAACUCGCAAGAAUCGAAGAGGUCGGUGGUCGUGUUAUAUAUUGGGAUGGCGCUAGAGUUCUCGGCGUUCUUGCUAUGUCUAGAACAAUCG